RNAcentral lists this long non-coding RNA (245 nucleotides) under Elaeis guineensis (African oil palm). RNAcentral describes it as "long non-coding RNA (EGUI_LNC049239)". The record is from RNAcentral. Lineage: Eukaryota; Viridiplantae; Streptophyta; Magnoliopsida; Arecales; Arecaceae.
AGAGGAUCGAUGAUCUACAGAUGAACCUCCCACUACAUGCACCGACUCUUUUUGGAGCUAAUGGUCUUUCUCGAACAUCUGCAGCAAUCCUAACAAACUAUGGUAGUUCACUAUAGGCUUGAUCAUUCUAUAAUGACUCAACAAGGGUAGGUAGGAUUUUGAUAGCGAGUUCAGUAUAACAUCCUUGUCCAACUGUUCAUAUAACGGAAAACUAAGUUUACUUAAGCAUUCAAUCUACUCGAUCA